CUUGGAAUUAAGGUCUAGCAUUACUCAACUUUAACGGUGUUCUAGCUCUUUAUGCUUUCAGUCUAGGAGCAAUACAUCUGCAAAAAAUAAUACCAUUAACAUAAUAUGUUUGUGGUAAAUUUUAUUAUUGAUAAACUUUUUGCUAAAAUGAAUUGGAGAACGUAAUAGUGAUAUAAGUUGAAGUUCAAACUUAAUUGGAACUAAAAUCCGUAUCCACUAAUCUGAUACGUUUACUCUAUUAUUUUUUUAAGAGACCUUAUCAUUGUUUGUGUUCCCAACAACCUCAUGCAAAUACAUACUAAUAGUGUGCAGAGGUUUUCAAAUCCCAAAAGUUGAACUUAUAUAUUUUCUGGGGUUGACCAUUUGGAUAAUACUCCACCACACUACCUGCUAUCUAAAAUACAUCAUUGUUACUUCUUGGAGAAUAGAGCUUAGUAGACAAAUAUCUAAUGCAUAACAGUUGAAUUGAGAAGAACUUUUUUUUUUUUUUUUUUUACUUAUUAUAGAAGAGCCAGUGGAUCGACAUGGCUGUUUUAGGGUAUUAAAGUUCCAAUUAAGGGCAAUUGUGACUUUUAAGAACAAUUUAUAUUACGUGGCAUUGAACCUGCAAUUGGGUUCGCCACGUUUCUCCAUCACACUCGCUGAUGUGGAUGUUCAUCUCUCUUCUUCUCAGAAAACACACCAAGAAAAAUUGAUUUCUCAUUGUGUUCUUAUCUUCUUAUUUUAGGAUAGUUUUCAGAAAAUUCGCAAUUUCAGGCUAUCUCAGCCACUGUCAAGCAAGAUGCGUGCACAUCAUUUCAUGUCUUUGAGCUAUGCUCACGAUGACAAUCCCUUGAAAGCUCUAUCUACCACAGAUGUACUUAUCGGUUAAGAAGAUGGUUAAAUCCAGGUUUAAUUUCGAAGGUGUUGCAGCUCCUGUUCAACUGACCAUCUUUUAAUGCGAGACAAUCAUUGUUUAUGAUAAUAUUUCACAGAACUCAGUCUGAGGAUCUACCUGUUUAUUCCUUGUGGCCU
Molecule: long non-coding RNA, 1014 nt
Organism: Lycium barbarum (goji berry)
Lineage: Eukaryota; Viridiplantae; Streptophyta; Magnoliopsida; Solanales; Solanaceae
Exons: 3
Source: RefSeq, a predicted model, not a curated record